AAUAGAUACCCGGUAGUCCUAGCCGUAAACGAUGCAUACUGGAUGUAGGAGGGCUCAACCCCUUCUGUAUCGGAGCUAACGCGUUAAGUAUGCCGCCUGGGGAGUACGCUCGCAAGGGUGAAACUCAAAAGAAUUGACGGGGGCCCGCACAAGCAGUGGAGCAUGUGGUUUAAUUCGAUGCAACGCGAAGAACCUUACCCAGGCUCGAAGUGUAGAGAAAAACAGCAGAAAUGUUGCGUCCCGAAAGGGGCUUUAUAUAGGUGCUGCAUGGCUGUCGUCAGCUCGUGCCGUGAGGUGUUGGAUUAAGUCCCGCAACGAGCGCAACCCUUAUCGUCAGUUGCCAACGCGUAAUGGCGGGGACUCUGGCGAGACUGCCCAGGUUAACUGGGAGGAAGGUGAGGAUGAUGUCAAGUCCGCAUGGCCUUUAUGUCUGGGGCUACACACGUGCUACAAUGGUCGGUACAGAAGGUAGCGAAGCCGCGAGGCGGAGCAAAUCCGAAAAACCGAUCUCAGUUCAGAUUGC
This 523-nucleotide ribosomal RNA is filed under the name uncultured bacterium. RNAcentral describes it as "bacterial SSU rRNA". It matches the Rfam family "Bacterial small subunit ribosomal RNA", at positions 777 to 1301 of the family's 1533-position model. The record is from RNAcentral.